UACGUAGGGUCCGAGCGUUGUCCGGAAUUAUUGGGCGUAAAGGGCUCGUAGGCGGUUCGUCACGUCGGGAGUGAAAACUCGGAGCUUAACUCCGAGCCUGCUUCCGAUACGGGCAGACUAGAGGUAGGCAGGGGAGAGCGGAACUCCUGGUGUAGCGGUGGAAUGCGCAGAUAUCAGGAAGAACACCGGUGGCGAAGGCGGCUCUCUGGGCCUUACCUGACGCUGAGGAGCGAAAGCGUGGUAGCGAACAGG
Molecule: ribosomal RNA, 252 nt
Filed under: uncultured bacterium
Lineage: Bacteria
Description: partial 16S ribosomal RNA
Rfam family: Bacterial small subunit ribosomal RNA
Source: RNAcentral